CAGCUUCUUUCUUACAUACCUGUGUUUCAACACUCGGAUUAUCUCUCCGGCAACGUCUUCCUGGUGGUGGAAGUGGUGAACACUGAAGGCUAAGUAACAAGUUAGCAAAAUGGGACCUGGAGGGCCGGGAGGAGGGCCGGGAGGACCUGGUGGACCGGGAGGAUGGGGAGGAGGACCUGGUGGUUGGGGUCCUGGCCCCGGAGGACCUGGCGGAUUUGGGCCUGGAGGUCCUGGUUGGGGUCCGGGACCUGGAGGUCCCUGGGGCCCUGGAUUUGGAGGUCCUGGUUUUUGGCCUGGUGGGUUCUUUGGCGGCUUUGCAGAUGGUUUGUGCAAUAUGAUAUCUUCCUGGUAAGCAAUCAAAUCUUUACUCAAUUCCGGUAUAGUUAAAUGCGGUUUGAUUGAGGUUAAAUUUGAUUGGGAUUGC
This 424-nucleotide long non-coding RNA is filed under the name Gossypium barbadense (sea-island cotton). Its description in RNAcentral is "long non-coding RNA (GBAR_LNC020614)". The record is from RNAcentral. Lineage: Eukaryota; Viridiplantae; Streptophyta; Magnoliopsida; Malvales; Malvaceae.